This 296-nucleotide long non-coding RNA is filed under the name Carica papaya (papaya). Its description in RNAcentral is "long non-coding RNA (CPAP_LNC007803)". Lineage: Eukaryota; Viridiplantae; Streptophyta; Magnoliopsida; Brassicales; Caricaceae. The record is from RNAcentral.
AGAGCUAACAGAGUAGCGACACAGUACGUACCACUCGAAGACAAACAAAUAUGAAUGUUAAUACAAAUACAACGAGAGUUGAGGAUGUGAUGAAUAUGGGUCUUGAAAAUGUUAGUGUUAAUAUCAACAUCAAUCGUGAGGAAUCUUUUUAUGAUUGUCAAAUGCCUCAAACUCCUACUUCACAACCCGAAGGUGAAACUCCAAGGUGUUCAAGACCAAGCAAAUCAAGAUGUUUAGGUACUAUCUCAGAAGAUGAUUAUCUGCUUGAAAAAAAUUAGAAUAAUUACUGAUGCACU